Molecule: ribosomal RNA, 301 nt
Filed under: uncultured bacterium
Lineage: Bacteria
Description: partial 16S ribosomal RNA
Rfam family: Bacterial small subunit ribosomal RNA
Source: RNAcentral
CAGUAGCCGCGGGAAUACGUAGGGUGCAAGCGUUAAUCGGAAUUACUGGGCGUAAAGCGUGCGCAGGCGGUUAUAUAAGACAGAUGUGAAAUCCCCGGGCUCAACCUGGGAACUGCAUUUGUGACUGUAUAGCUAGAGUACGGCAGAGGGGGAUGGAAUUCCGCGUGUAGCAGUGAAAUGCGUAGAUAUGCGGAGGAACACCGAUGGCGAAGGCAAUCCCCUGGGCCUGUACUGACGCUCAUGCACGAAAGCGUUGGGAGCAAACAGGAUUAGAUACCCGUGUAGUCCCUGUCUCUUAUAC